GAGAGGACACGGUUCUCAGGCCAUGGACAUUCCUCCAUCCAGUAUCUGCUAAGUGCCUACUGUGGAAGGGCACAGGGCCAGGCACUGGCCAGACACACAGCCUAUGGGAUCAACCAAGGCUGCAACCAGCAGCCCACAUCACCCCGCCCGUCAGCGACAAGGCACGCUUAGCGUAGAAGUUUUAUCCCCGAAAGUGCACAUCGGACGUCCCCAAGGGGAAGGCCCCAUGCACAAGAGGGCGGCAUCUUCAGAACUCACUGCCACCACACAGGCCACACCUGGCUCUCUUACUGACCAUCAUUCCCCUCCCCAAGUCUCAAAAUUCCUGGGCUUCCCCUGCGUCACUCCUGUCUCCUCGCACCUGCCUCCACAAGCACAUCUCCAACCCCUCCCAGCGACCCCGGAUGAUGGACUUACGGAAGGACCAACUUUGCCUUGAGGACCAGCAUCACCAGGGCGACCCGUGAGACCCUUUGUUCAGGAGAGAGAAGAGGAUAUGUGUCAGGGCAGCCCCAGAUCCUCCCAGUGCUGGCAGCAUGGGAUUGGAGGGGCAUGCAGAGUCUGCUGGGAGUCAGAUGCAGUCUGUUCAAGGACAAAGGCAGAUCGGCCACCUACCCGGGCUCCAGGAAGGCCAGGCUCUCCGGGACGGCCAGGGUCACCGUUGGCUCCCUUGGGACCAGCAAGGCCACUGGGACCUCGCUCUCCAGGGGCUCCCUACACAAAAGGAGGCAAAGGGUCAGCAGAAGCCAUCUGACCAGUGAUGCAGGGACCGACCCCAGGCCCUGUUCCCCCACUUACCUUGGGACCUGCUAGACCAUCUUGACCAGGGAAACCACGGUUGCCAGGAGCACCCUAGGAAGAAGUGGAGAGGAGAGGCAGGGGGUUAGAGUGGCCCCUAGCCCAACCCUGGCUGCAAAGAGCCUAGCCAGAUGCCAGAGGGUCCAGCCCACCAACCCUGCACCCACAAUUUCUUGGAGCAGUAGCUACAGCCUGCAAGCUUGUGAGAGAUUAACUUUCUGGGAAGGAGAUCCCCUGUUUCAUGUCAUCCUGGGGGUGAGGGAUACAAAUAAGAAGGUGCCCUAUCCCCAUCAGAUGGGCAGUGGGUGGAGAAAAGAGAAGUAUGGUGUCCAGAAGGCCACAGACUUGGCAGAGCCCCAGAGCCACAAGGAUUCAGCUCCCAUCCUUGGGUCACGCCCCUGAGCAUGGGGCUCCUGGCUCACUUACUCUUUCUCCAGGGGGACCGGCAGGCCCAGCACCACCAGGCUCUCCACGGGCACCUCUUUUGCCUUCUUCACCAGCAGGACCGGGGGCUCCUUGGGGACCAGCAGGGCCCUGUAAACCAGCACAGAGAAACAGGAUGAGUCUUCGCCUGGCCCUGCAGCAAGCACAGGCCUGGCCUGCAGAGGAAGUGGCUGUGGCUACAGUUUCAGGGUGGGGGGGACCUGGGGAAAAGGGGUCAUGAAGAAUCAGAUGGGGAAGGGCAGACAUGGCCCAGUGGGAAGAGAUUACAAAGUUUGAAAUCAGUCAAGCUGGUCAAGCCAAAGAUGGGAGCUGAAGCUGCAUCAGCUUCUCAACCUGGUUGUAGCUCUGCUCCAGGCACAGCCUGUGAGGGCCCAGAUGAGGGGAUGGGGGCUACUGCAGAGGUGGGCAGUGGGCCAGGGGCGGCCACAGAGCAGUGACUUGGAAAGACAAGAGCUGGUGGGCAGAUACGCACCGGUUCUCCCUUGGGGCCUUGUUCGCCUUUGAAGCCAGCAAUUCCAGGCUCACCCUUGACAAAGGAGAAAGGCAGGUUCUCACAUUCUCUUCUUUCCGUGGCCCUGCCCCCACCUCCCAAGACCCUUGAAGGCAUCCACUGAAGGACACGGUGUGCGCUCAGGAAGGGGAGAUGCAGGUAUGAUUCCAGGGCCGUUGGUAGGCCUUGGGGUUCCCUCUGGGUCUUACCGUUUGACCUUUCGGGCCCAGAGGACCAGUUGCACCUUGAGGGCCGGGUGGACCACGGGGCCCGGGGAAGCCAGGAGCACCAGCAAUGCCAGGAGCACCCUGUCGGCAUGAGCAGAAAGAGGGGCAUCAGGAAAGAGGUUGAGGAGGGACUGACCCCACCGGGAGGAGCCAAGUCCGAGGGCAGAACUCACAGCAGAUCCUUUAGCUCCAGGAAUUCCAUCAGUUCCAGGGUUACCCUGAAAAAGGAGACAGUGUCAUUAUAAAACAAGCAGCAAAGAAUAAACACCAGCCACCUUCCAGCCGUCCCAGGCCGCAGGUUCAGGGGUAGGCCAGCAGCAGCCCAUUCCAGCUAGGCACAGGGUCAAGUGUGCCAAGGCCUCAGACCCCAGACCCUUCAGGCCAAAGAAAAACUACACUUACAGAGGCACCAGCUGGCCCAGGGGACCCAGGAUUUCCAGGUUCACCUCGAGGACCUUGGGCGCCUUCAGGACCUCGAGCACCAGUGGGGCCAGCUUCACCCUGAGAAGAGACAGGGAGGAAUGGAGUGAGGACAGGUCACGGUGACAGAGAUCUCUCAAGGGCCAGCAACAGUUCAGGACAAGCUAUACGCAUGUAUACAAAGCCUGGUCCUGCACCUGUGCCCCUGGCAUGUGAGCACUCGGGGUCCCACCCGUGUUCCCACGUGGGCCGCCUGGCUGAGCCUGCAGCUCUGGUGACUUCCUGCCUCACCCACUCUACUCUCCAUCUUCCCGCCAGACUGUGACCAUGACCAGUGAAUACACGGUUUCCUGCCACAGCCCGGGCGUCAUGCUGGGCCCAUCGACACCCAUCAGAAAAGCUGGAGCUGGGUGAUCCUGCCAGCCCACAUCACGGGAUAAAGGAUGGCUGGCUGAGAUGGGCAGGCAUCUCUACCUCCCCUUCCCCACCUAUUUCCUCUUUCACUGAGGCCCUCAAACAUCUCAGCUCAGGGCACCACUUGGCUUUUAUCUGGCUGAUGUGUGAACCAGGCUCUGGCCCAAGCCUGCCUGAAGGACGCCAGAAAGCCAGGCAAAAGCAAGCCGGGACCAGCGCCCCACCUCUGCUUUUCCCAAAAUGGCCUCUGCUUUUCCUUUCAUUUUUUCCUGAAAGUUACAACUGGCUGCGAUGUGGGCUCUCUGGACGGUGAAGUCCCCGGGGAGGACUGCUGACCUGGAGGGAGGGCAGAGGCUCCUCAGGUUCUUUUCAGAACAUUCUUGCUUCACUUUUGUAAUUAUUAUUUUCUAGGGGUCAGGCCCCCUCACCUUCCGCCAUCCCUCUUCACAAUGGGUCUCCUUCACCCGGCUCCUGGGGCCUCAGACACUGUCUGGUUGCCAUGGGAACCCACCCCCCCUCCCCGGAGGGGAAAAGCAACCUGAUGCCAGUGACCACAUGGAGGCUCCUUAUUCAUGUCCUGGCGGCACCGGGAGAGAAUUCCCAGGGACACACCGCGUUGGAAUCCCUCCUGGGCCACAGGCACAGGGGCCUUUCCCUGAACUGGCUGACCUCCCGCUGGCCUCUCUUAAUCCUCGGAAGAACUCUAUUAACACGGCAUGGAAGAGCCAGGCCUCCCAAAUGAAGCAGGGGUGAGAGGAAGCCUGGAACCAUCUCCAAGCCUGCUUCCCUCCAACUCCCUGCCGGGUCUAAAGUCAGCUGAGCUUUUGCCUUCUGUCCUUCAGCUCCUGGUCUUCUGCUCCCUCUCAGGGCUUGGCUGUCUCCCCAUCUUUGGCUGUUCCCCACUCUGAAGCUGUAAGUGCACCUCCAGCUUUUUUUUAUCAUUCCACCUUCCUUUCCCUUCUAGCUGGUGACUCCAUGAAAUGCCUAGCUUGUUCUUUGCCUCCGUGAAGAGCAGCAGCAGGGGGAGCGGGGCACACCUCGGAAGGGGAGGGGCAUCGUGGGGUAGGGGCCAGCAGCCGGGGUUAUAGGGAGAGGGCAGGACACGCACCUUGGCACCGGGAGCACCAGGGAAGCCAGGACCGCCAGCAGGACCCACGGGACCCUGGAAGAAAGAUGCGGGUGGAGAGGUGAAUGCCUCUCUCCAGCCUCAAAGUGAGCCACCCCCACACCACACAUGCCUUCCCACCUUUGUGCUGGAUCUUGUGCUACCUCCAUUGUAACUGAACAUCCCUGGAUGAAAACUAUCCCCACUGCCCGUGUCCCAAGCCUGGCUUCAUAAGGCAAAGCAUGUUUCUGACUAUGUCCACAGUGAGAAGCGGGUGACUCUUUCACCUCCCUCUACAUCUCUCCUCAAAAAAAAAAAAAAAAAAAAAAAUCUGCGAGAGGGUGGCCAAGAAAAAGGAAGCAUUGCUUCGAGGCUCGACAUCAGCAUGUUCUCAGAGUAGCGACAAAUUAUUCCUUCCCCUUCCCAGGAGGAGCCAGAGCACCGCGUGGGUACUGAGCAAAUGCUGCAGCUUCACGGGGCUGCUGACGGGGACUCAGGUAAAACGCCCCACGACAAAGUGAACUUACCGGAGGCCCUGCAGGGCCUGGUUGACCGUCGUUGCCCCGGGCACCCUGUGAGCGAGAAGGAAGCAGCCUGGUGAGACGUGUCCUCCGGUCCAGUCCCUCCCUGCCCGGCCUAUCCACACGGGGCCCUGGGCUGAGCAGGAGGCUGGAGAGGUGUGAGCUGCGGGAGGAAGCAGCCCCAGGACCCUCCGUGGGGGCUUUGAGAACCAAGCAAGCAAUGGGCCUGUUCUCCCCGUAACACAGCUUGGGUCGUUUCCCAUCCAGUGCAUUGUUUCUUUCUUCCUUUUUCUUUUUUCUUUUUUUUAAAUUUUUACCGUCGCCCCCGUGGUAUAUGGAAUUUCCCAGGCCAGGGAUUGAAUCUGAGCAUAGCUGCUACCUAUGCCACAGCUGCGGCAACACUAGGUCCUUUACCCCACUGAGCCAGGCCAGGGAUGGAACCUGAGCUUCUGCAGUGACCCGAACCACUGCAGUAGGAUUCUUAAUCCAUGGCGCCACAGUAGGAACUCCGGUUCCAUUGUUUCUUAAACUCCAUUUAGACCCCAAAUAUCUCCAACUUCAAGGCCAAAUUAGCAUUUAAGGACUCAGUGAAAUGGGCCAGAGGGAAAUGAAGUAGCCAACCAGCAAUCCCGACUUGGUUCUUCCUGCCUGUCACAGAGGAAAGCACUUUCAGGGCUCAUUAACCUCCUUGGUUAAGGCUUGGUUAACUCCAGCAUCUGCACCCCGAAUCCCACUCUCAACCCACAAGACAACCUGCUCCAAAGGAAAACAGAGAAGCAGCAGGAUGUCUGCCCCCAUCCCGGAAAGAAGCUGUGUGAUGGGGACAGGGCACCGGGAUUAGCCCAGGACCACAUCUGAGCUUGGGCCCCCAGGACACCAAGGCUGCCGGCUCUUCCUAUGUAGGAUUUGCUCUUUGAGGGCUCCCCCACCCCAUCCGGGGUUUGUGGUGAGCACCUCCAGUCUCUCUCUCAAGGCCCCCCAGGGCCCAGGGCACCGUUCAGCUAGGUAAAGCUGGGCCUGGCACCAAGGCACCAAGGUACCAGGUCUUUGGAGGGGACGGAGCAGGCCAGGGGGUGACUCUUCCUGAGCUGAGCCCCGCCUGCCUGCCUCUGCCUCUCCUCGGAGGCUGAAGAAGGAUGCUUUAGGGGGAGCUCCUGUUUUAAAUAAGAGUCAGAUCUUCCUCCUGGCAGUGGUCCGUUUCCCCUGACUGAGACUCUCCAGGUUGGCGUUAAACAGGGAAGCAGGAGAAGACUUAACAGAACAAAAUGUCAGAGGGAACAUAAAGCAUUGGCCAGAGCCCCUUCUAGACCAGCCUGGCCACUUCGAGAAGUACCCUCCCUCCAGGGGUUGGCCAGAGGAGAGGCCCAGGCUGGCUAUGCGGGCUGGCUGGCAUCCAGGGCUCCCCUGGCAGCAAGGCUGGGGAGUGGGCACCAUCUGGCCCAAGAAGGGGGGUGGCACAUGACCACUGCAGGCAGAGGCCCACCCAGCCCCCAUCCCAGGUCCAGCCUUGACACCAGGCCUGCACUUGGAACUACGUGACAUUUUCAGUGUGCUCCUGCCAAUCCUGUGCCCGCCCUGCCAGCCUGACUACCGUGGGGAUAGAACCAGCAAGGAGAAGCAAGAAGCAAGGUCUCCUGUGCCCAGGAAAGUAGGGGAACAGAGGUGCAGCCCAUCUGUACCCCUCACGGGGUGUGGCCACCAUGGCUCCAAGCCUGGCCCAAAAGCCACAAGCCAGGUCUUGAGGAUCUGCAGAAAUCACAGUGUUUCUUGGCAGGCCCAGAGCCCCCUAAUCCCCUCACACAAAGGGACCCUGGGACACUUCAGCAGCUCUGGCUGACAAACGGGGGUCGAGGCUGCUUGUUAUUCCACUGAUCUGCUUUUGAGGGAAAUUUCUGCCAAAACAGAUACAUUAUCUGGAAAGCAGUGCCACGGAGUGACAUUGAUUUACUUUGGCUGGCCCUCAAGGACCCGUGAGGAGGGGCCUCAGAGCCUGGGUGGGUGGGUGGGGCACAAAAUCAACAGCGAGUUAAUCUUUCUUCAACGCAGCUUUCAUCAUAUCACUCGCCUGGCCAGGCGCCACCCCCCCCAAGGGCUCUUUCUUGCUAAGGGAUGAGAGCUAAACGCCUGCAUCCCCAUCCCUGCAAAUCCCACUCUUGACUUCCCCCAUUAACAAGCAGCCACCAGAGUCCGAGGCUACAACGCAUUGUUUCUUAAGCUACUCAACCUUUCCGUGCCUCAGCUUCUUCUCUCAGAUGGGGAGAACCAGAGAAUCUCAGAGGAUGUGAGGGAAGAUUAGAUGAGACAAAGCACCUUAGUUAUUAAACAGAGGACGUGCCCUUAAAGCGGCAGCCACUGGUGUGUCAGAGUCACCAGCGAAGCAGCAAUGUCAAGGACACAAAGUGGACGCUAACUCUUCUACUUUUCUAGAGCAGCAUCUGAGCAGCCAGAAAGAAUAAAAAAGAGCAUCAGUUCAAAUGGGAUUGACUGGGAUGUGGGUGGAGCUGCCGAGGGGGUUAUCUGAAUCAUCAGACUGGUUAAGGAGACUCCGGCCCUCACCAGCCAGCCCUCCCACAGCCCGCUCCCAGUCCUCGGACUAGAGCAGACCCAGCCCGGGAAUUUGUGGCCAGCGUGCCGAGAGCGAAUCCUCGUGGAAAGAUGACACAGUCUUCGCCUCUCAGGGUUGUUUUGAGGGUCGGGCGAAAUAAGCCAAAUACAAGUGCCUUGUAAACUCAAAA
Sus scrofa (pig) is the source of this 7154-nucleotide non-coding RNA. NCBI's taxonomy places the organism in Eukaryota, Metazoa, Chordata, Mammalia, Artiodactyla, Suidae. The record is from RefSeq and is a predicted model, not a curated record.